ACCUGACAGCUCAGUACAUUCGCUGUCCGCCCGGGGACUACAAGCACGAGCUUCAAACCCAAAGGACUUGACGGUGCUUCACAUCCACCUAGAGGAGCCUGUCCUAGAACCGAUACCCCCCGUUAAACCUCACCUUUUCUUGCCCAUCCCGCCUAUAUACCGCCGUCUUCUGCUUACCCUAUGAAGGACACAUAGUGAGCAUAAUUGGUUUUACCCUAAACGUCAGGUCGAGGUGUAGCGUAUGAGAAGGAAAGAGAUGGGCUACAUUCAAUGAAUCAUUGAAGUUUUCACGGAUAGUCAACUGAAAAACAAACUUUGAAGGAGGAUUUAGUAGUAAGCAGGG
Molecule: ribosomal RNA, 343 nt
Filed under: Calotomus carolinus (Caroline's parrotfish)
Lineage: Eukaryota; Metazoa; Chordata; Actinopteri; Labriformes; Labridae
Description: partial 12S ribosomal RNA
Rfam family: Bacterial small subunit ribosomal RNA
Source: RNAcentral